This 460-nucleotide ribosomal RNA is filed under the name uncultured bacterium. RNAcentral's name for it is "partial 16S ribosomal RNA". It matches the Rfam family "Bacterial small subunit ribosomal RNA", at positions 338 to 795 of the family's 1533-position model. The record is from RNAcentral.
CCUACGGGAGGCUGCAGUGAGGAAUAUUGGUCAAUGGACGAGAGUCUGAACCAGCAAAGUAGCGUGAAGGAUGACUGCCCUAUGGGUUGUAAACUUCUUUUAUAAAGGACUAAAACGAGGCACGUGUGCCUUUUUGCAUGUACUUUAUGAAUAAGGAUCGGCUAACUCCCUGCCAGCCGCCGCGGUAAUACGGAGGAACCGAGCGUUCUCCGGAUUUAUUGGGUUUAAGGGGAGCGUAGAUGGGUUGUUAAGUCAGUUGUGAAAGUUUGCGGCUCAACCGUAAGAUUGCAAUUGAUACUGGCAGUCUUGAGUACAGUUGAGGUAGGCGGAAUUCGUGGUGUAGCGGUGAAAUGCUUAGAUAUCACGAAGAACCCCGAUUGCGAAGGCAGCUUACUAAACUGUGACUGACAUUGAUGCUCGAAAGUGUGGGUAUCAAACAGGAUUAGAUACCCGAGUAGUC